GACGAACGCUGGCGGCGUGCUUAACACAUGCAAGUCGAACGGAAAGGCCCUGCUUUUGUGGGGUGCUCGAGUGGCGAACGGGUGAGUAACACGUGAGUAACCUGCCCUUGACUUUGGGAUAACUUCAGGAAACUGGGGCUAAUACCGGAUAGGAGCUCCUGCCGCAUGGUGGGGGUUGGAAAGUUUCGGCGGUUGGGGAUGGACUCGCGGCUUAUCAGCUUGUUGGUGGGGUAGUGGCUUACCAAGGCUUUGACGGGUAGCCGGCCUGAGAGGGUGACCGGCCACCUUGGGACUGAGAUACGGCCCAGACUCCUACGGGAGGCAGCAGUGGGGAAUAUUGCACAAUGGGCGGAAGCCUGAUGCGGCAACGCCGCGUGCGGGAUGACGGCCUUCGGGUUGUAAACCGCUUUCGCCUGUGACGAAGCGUGAGUGACGGUAAUGGGUAAAGAAGCACCGGCUAACUACGUG
Molecule: ribosomal RNA, 468 nt
Filed under: uncultured bacterium
Lineage: Bacteria
Description: partial 16S ribosomal RNA
Rfam family: Bacterial small subunit ribosomal RNA
Source: RNAcentral